This 465-nucleotide ribosomal RNA is filed under the name uncultured bacterium. RNAcentral describes it as "partial 16S ribosomal RNA". It matches the Rfam family "Bacterial small subunit ribosomal RNA", at positions 28 to 507 of the family's 1533-position model. The record is from RNAcentral.
GACGAACGCUGGCGGCGUGCUUAACACAUGCAAGUCGAACGGAAAGGCCCCCUUGUGGGGUACUCGAGUGGCGAACGGGUGAGUAACACGUGAGUAACCUACCCUUGACUUUGGGAUAACUUCAGGAAACUGGGGCUAAUACCGGAUAGGAGCUCCUGCUGCAUGGUGGGGGUUGGAAAGUUUCGGCGGUUGGGGAUGGACUCGGGGCUUAUCAGCUUGUUGGUGGGGUAGUGGCUCACCAAGGCUUUGACGGGUAGCCGGCCUGAGAGGGUGACCGGCCACAUUGGGACUGAGAUACGGCCCAGACUCCUACGGGAGGCAGCAGUGGGGAAUAUUGCACAAUGGGCGGAAGCCUGAUGCAGCAACGCCGCGUGCGGGAUGACGGCCUUCGGGUUGUAAACCGCUUUCGCCUGUGACGAAGCGUGAGUGACGGUAAUGGGUAAAGAAGCACCGGCUAACUACGUG